CUUUGAGCGCUUCCCACAGAUCAUCCACCCUCUGCCUACCUUCACCCUCCCCACCACUCCUCUCUGAGGGGAGAUCGCCUUGCUGCUGCGCAUAGGCUCACAGGGAACCAUGCCCACUCAGGCUAGCCCAUCCUCUGAGAAACACAGCCCUCAGGUCCGAAUACUUAGCUGGCCAUUAGCGAGCUAGUCGGCUGUUAGACUUGUCUGUGCCCUUCCAGAGAUCCUCACUGACUUCUGUCUACAUUGAUCACUUCAUGGAUUGGGGGGACCGGACCCGAGGCCUAGAGAAGUGAAGGGACCUGAGGCCACUAGCAGAAGAGCAUCGUUUGUCUUGUCCCCGCCCACCGGCAUUUUCCUGUGGAGUUCCAGCUAGCAAGCGGCAAGUCCACCGUGACUCCUGGCACCACUUACUCCUGUAGGCUGGAGGCCAGCCAGAAGGCUGUGAGGGGCCAGGUGGGGUCAGGCAUUUGAUUCUGCCUCCUCGUGCUGGGAUCUGCCUGUCCUACUCAGUCUGUCUGCAUGCCAACGUCCCGCCCUGGCCGUGGGUAGCAUGACCUCCACUCUGAUGCCCAUCACUCAAAGCCUUGCUCCCCUCCAUCCUGGCAUGCUGCUCUGGACGGCCAGCACCUCCAAAGGCCUCCCAAGGAGCAGACUUCACAGCUCUACUGUCUGAAACUGUAGGGAGCCGGCACAGGAAGCGGGGAGCAGGAUAAGAUGCUGCCUGGAUGCCUGAGGAGUGUGGCACCGCGGGAAGUACAUGUACAUGGCUCUGUGGGUCCACGGCUGUCCCUACAGGGAGAGUGUGGGUUGGGUGAGUGAGUGUGCGCGCUGCCACGCCAGAAAGAUCUGUAAGGCUCCAAGACUGCCAGCAGCCCUAGUCAGAGUGUGGCAGGGGAGGGGGGUGGGGGCUGCAAUUCCUCUUCCCAGGGCAUGCCCUCCAGCGCCUACCGGGACAUGCCAGGUGAGCCCCUGGCCUGCGGGCUCUCUGAUGAUGAGGACGACUUUCACCCGAGUGCCAGGUCCACGCCCUCAAGCAGCACCCCCAGCUCCCGCCCAGCUUCCCUGGGGUACAGUGGAGCUGCCGGGCCCCGGCCCAUCACCCAGAGCAAGCUGGCCACUGCCCUGGCCCUGGCCAGCACUCCGGAGAGCAGCUCUCACACACCGACUCCUGGUACCCAGCAUGGCCCCUAAACACCAGUCUCCGCUUCCAUCCCACAUAAAGAAACCAAAACUGACUCCUGCCUCCAGGCCAGACAAAACGUCUCCUCUGAACUUGCUGAAGGAAGAGAAAGAACAGCAAGAAGCAACUGAACAUAUUGAUGGAGUACAAGAUGAAAUAGACAGACUUAGUGAACAAGCCAGUGAGGAGAUUUUGAAAGUCGAACAGAAAUAUAACAAAUUCCGCCAAUAAUUUUUUCAGAAGAAGUUGGAAUUGAUUGCCAAAAUCCCAAAUUUGGGGGUAACAACAUUUGUUAACCAUCCGCAAGCGUCUGCACUGCUUGGGAAGGAAGAUGAGGCGCUGCCUUAUUUGACAAGCGUUGAAGUGACGGAAUUUGAAGAUAUUAAAUCAGGUUACAGAAUAGAUUUUUAUCUUGAUGAAAAUAGAAUAUUAUUUUCACUUACUUUGAAAAUAAAGUUGUCUCCAAACACUUACAUCUACAUGAGAGUGGCGAUCUAUCUUCAAAGUCCACUGAAGUCAAAUGGAAAUCCAGAAAGGAUUUCACUAAGUGAUCAAGUCAAAUGCAGAAGAAAGCCAGCCGGAAGAGACAGCAUGAGGAACCAGAGAGCUUCUUCACCUGGUUUAUUGAUCAUUCUGAUGCAGGUGCAGAUGAGCUAGGAGAGGUCAUCAAAGAUGAUAUUUGGCCAAGUCCGUUACAGUGGUGCUUGUUUCCUGCCAUGGAUGAUGAGGAAGGGGAAGGAGAAGAAGGUGAUGGUGACAGUGAAGAGGAAGAAGGAUUGGAAGAUAUUGAUGAAGGAGAUUAGGAUGAAAGUGAAAAAGAUGAGGCGGAGGAAGAUGAAGGAGACGAGGACUAAUGGAACAUGGAUGGAUUCCAACCUUCCUUUUUAAAUCUUCUCCAGUCCCUGGGAGCAAGUUGAAGUCUUUUUUUUCUCCUCCUGUGCUCACUCACUCUGUUUUUAAGGUCUCUUUUCUCUUUUAUACCAAGGUUCACAACUUAUUUGGGAAUAUCUUGAGCAGAAUUCAAGGGGAAAGGAAUUUCUACCCCUUUCUAUUCCAAAUUCAUUUUUAUCCCUUACUGUCACAACAAAGGCUAUAGAAUCAACACCACCAUGCUCUGUGGGAAAAAAGAAAAACCUUCUGCUCUCCUGGCUCUGCUGGAAGCUGGAGGGUCCUAGGCCUCUGUGUGAUAGUGCAUAGAAUAGUGCCUUUCCCCCUCCUUUCUCUGUAUAUUGUGUUCAGAGACUACAUUGUGUCUCUACGUGAAUAUGGACAGUUAGCAUUUACCAAUAUAUGUCUGUCUACUUUCUCUUUUUAAAAAAGAAAAAAGACUUUUUAAAAAUGGGGUUAUAGAAGGUCAGCAAAAGGUGGGUUUGAGAUGUUUGGGUGGGUUAAGUGAGUAUUUUGACAACAUGGCUACUCCUUUGGCAUGUUAAAUUGUGAUGUUUAAUGGAUGUACUUUCAGUUUAAGAUGACACUUUUGAAACAAAAAAGUGAAAGUGAAAGUCACUCAGUUGUGUCGGACUCUUUGCGACUAUACAGUCCAAGGAAUUCUCCAGGCCAGAAUACUGGAGUGGGUAACCUUUCCCUUCUCCAGGGGAUCUUCCCAGCUCAAGGAUCAAACCCAGGUCUCCUGCAUUGCAGGUAGAUUCUUUACCAGCUGAGCUACCAGGGAAACUCCCCUUUUAAAACAAAAUUCUCUCCUAAUAACUUGAGCCCUGCCUCUAGAUGGGAGAAUCAACAGGACCUAUAGGAAGUUACCUGCAAUUGACAUUCCCUAUUGUAAUUUUGUUCCUGUAUAUUUUUAAAUGUUUCUUUUUGCUUCACUGAAAAGUAAAAAUGAUGCUCAGUUUUUAAUGUUAAAAGUGUACAAGUUGCUUUGUUACAAUAAAACUAAAUGUGUU
RNAcentral lists this long non-coding RNA (3081 nucleotides) under Capra hircus (goat). RNAcentral describes it as "lncRNA (ENSCHIG00000005427.1)". The record is from RNAcentral. Lineage: Eukaryota; Metazoa; Chordata; Mammalia; Artiodactyla; Bovidae.